GAUGAACGCUGGCGGCGUGCCUAAUACAUGCAAGUAGAACGCUGAAGGAGGAGCUUGCUCUUCUGGAUGAGUUGCGAACGGGUGAGUAACGCGUAGGUAACCUGCCUGGUAGCGGGGGAUAACUAUUGGAAACGAUAGCUAAUACCGCAUGACAACAGUUAUUGCAUGAUAACUGUUUAAAAGGGGCAACUGCUCCACUACCAGAUGGACCUGCGUUGUAUUAGCUAGUUGGUGAGGUAACGGCUCACCAAGGCGACGAUACAUAGCCGACCUGAGAGGGUGAUCGGCCACACUGGGACUGAGACACGGCCCAGACUCCUACGGGGGGCAGCAGUAGGGAAUCUUCGGCAAUGGACGGAAGUCUGACCGAGCAACGCCGCGUGAGUGAAGAAGGUUUUCGGAUCGUAAAGCUCUGUUGUAAGAGAAGAACGAGUGUGAGAGUGGAAAGUUCACACUGUGACGGUAUCUUACCAGAAAGGGACGGCUAACUACGUG
RNAcentral lists this ribosomal RNA (495 nucleotides) under uncultured bacterium. RNAcentral's name for it is "partial 16S ribosomal RNA". It matches the Rfam family "Bacterial small subunit ribosomal RNA", at positions 28 to 507 of the family's 1533-position model. The record is from RNAcentral.